UAAAUGUAAGGAAUAUGACUUACAGAUAGCACUUGCAACUUAAUGAUUUUUUGUUUGAAAUGUUAAGAGG
Molecule: transfer RNA, 70 nt
Filed under: Gynacantha japonica
Lineage: Eukaryota; Metazoa; Arthropoda; Insecta; Odonata; Aeshnidae
Description: tRNA-Val
Source: RNAcentral